CCUACGGGAGGCAGCAGUGGGGAAUAUUGGACAAUGGGGGGAACCCUGAUCCAGCCAUGCCGCGUGUGUGAAGAAGGCCCUCGGGUUGUAAAGCACUUUCAGUGAGGAAGAACGCCUGGUGGUUAAUACCCAUCAGGAAAGACAUCACUCACAGAAGAAGCACCGGCUAACUCCGUGCCAGCAGCCGCGGUAAUACGGAGGGUGCGAGCGUUAAUCGGAAUUACUGGGCGUAAAGCGCGCGUAGGUGGCUUGAUAAGCCGGUUGUGAAAGCCCCGGGCUCAACCUGGGAACGGCAUCCGGAACUGUCAAGCUAGAGUGCAGGAGAGGAAGGUAGAAUUCCCGGAGUAGCGGUGAAAUGCGUAGAGAUCGGGAGGAAUACCAGUGGCGAAGGCGGCCUUCUGGACUGACACUGACACUGAGGUGCGAAAGCGUGGGUAGCAAACAGGAUUAGAUACCCCUGUAGUC
RNAcentral lists this ribosomal RNA (465 nucleotides) under Vreelandella stevensii. RNAcentral's name for it is "partial 16S ribosomal RNA". It matches the Rfam family "Bacterial small subunit ribosomal RNA", at positions 338 to 795 of the family's 1533-position model. Lineage: Bacteria; Pseudomonadati; Pseudomonadota; Gammaproteobacteria; Oceanospirillales; Halomonadaceae. The record is from RNAcentral.